UAGGGAAUCUUCCACAGUGGGCGCAAGCCUGAUGGAGCAACGCCGCGUGAGUGAAGAAGGUCUUCGGAUCGUAAAACUCUGUUGUUAGAGAAGAACAUGCAGGAGAGUAACUGUUCUUGUAUUGACGGUAUCUAACCAGAAAGCCACGGCUAACUACGUGCCAG
RNAcentral lists this ribosomal RNA (164 nucleotides) under uncultured bacterium. RNAcentral describes it as "partial 16S rRNA". It matches the Rfam family "Bacterial small subunit ribosomal RNA", at positions 355 to 511 of the family's 1533-position model. The record is from RNAcentral.